RNAcentral lists this ribosomal RNA (444 nucleotides) under Allobates femoralis (brilliant-thighed poison frog). RNAcentral describes it as "partial 16S ribosomal RNA". It matches the Rfam family "Bacterial large subunit ribosomal RNA", at positions 1947 to 2554 of the family's 2925-position model. The record is from RNAcentral. Lineage: Eukaryota; Metazoa; Chordata; Amphibia; Anura; Aromobatidae.
CGUGCGAAGGUAGCGUAAUCACUUGUCCUUUAAAUAAGGACUAGUAUGAACGCUUCACGAAGGCUAUACUGUCUCCUUAAUCUAAUCAAUUAAACUAAUCUCCCCGUGAAGAAGCGGGGAUCCACUUAUAAGACGAGAAGACCCUAUGGAGCUUUAAACAUCUAAGACACUUGAUUACACCUACUAAACUUCAUGCAACCUAUCAUUUUGUCUUAAGUUUUAGGUUGGGGUGACCACGGAGAAAAAUUGAACCUCCACGUAGAAAGAAGAUUCUUUUCUAAGCAAAAAGCCACAUCUUAACGCAUCAAUAUAUUGACUUAAAUUGACCCAAUUUCUUGCUCAACGAACCAAGUUACCCUAGGGAUAACAGCGCAAUCCGCUUUAAGAGCUCCUAUCGACAAGCGGGCUUACGACCUCGAUGUUGGAUCAGGCUCAUCUGAUAAG